This 531-nucleotide ribosomal RNA is filed under the name Pseudatrichia longiventris. RNAcentral's name for it is "partial 16S ribosomal RNA". It matches the Rfam family "Bacterial large subunit ribosomal RNA", at positions 1809 to 2606 of the family's 2925-position model. Lineage: Eukaryota; Metazoa; Arthropoda; Insecta; Diptera; Scenopinidae. The record is from RNAcentral.
AAAAACAUGUCCUUUUGAAAAUUAAUUUAAGGUCUGACCUGCCCACUGAAAUUAUUAAAUGGCCGCAGUAUUUUAACUGUGCAAAGGUAGCAUAAUCAUUAGUCUUUUAAUUGGAGGCUUGUAUGAAUGGUUGGACGAGGCAUAUACUGUAUCAUAUGUAAUUUAUAGUAGAAUUUUAUUUUUUAGUUAAAAAGCUAAAAUGUUAAUGAAAGACGAGAAGACCCUAUAGAUCUUUAUAAUUUAAUUAUUUAUUGUUAUGAAGAUUAAUUUAAUAAUAAUUAAUUCCAUUAUUUUGUUGGGGUGACAUUAAAAUUUAUAAAACUUUUAAUAUAGAGGAUACAUUUAUUUAUGAUUUAUUGAUCCAUUAUUAGUGAUUAAAAAAUUAAGUUACCUUAGGGAUAACAGCGUAAUCUUUUUGGAGAGUUCUUAUCAAUAAAAAGGUUUGCGACCUCGAUGUUGGACUAAAAUAAAUUUUGGGUGUAGCAGUUCAAAUAUUUAAGUCUGUUCGACUUUUAAUUUUUUACAUGAUCU